Non-coding RNA from Minicystis rosea, 70 nucleotides. NCBI's taxonomy places the organism in Bacteria, Pseudomonadati, Myxococcota, Polyangiales, Polyangiaceae. The record is from Rfam.
GCGCUUGUCGUUCAAUGGUAGGACGACGGUUUCGAGAACCGUAGGCUGCGGGUUCAAUUCCCGCCGAGCA